This is a non-coding RNA of Schizosaccharomyces pombe (fission yeast), 343 nucleotides long. Lineage: Eukaryota; Fungi; Ascomycota; Schizosaccharomycetes; Schizosaccharomycetales; Schizosaccharomycetaceae. The record is from the annotation of a GenBank genome assembly.
UGACUAAAAACAUCGGCAACCAUGCCGGAUCCCUUGCAUUGGUAAAGACGACCUUUGUUUCCAGCGGUUACAAUACCGGCGGCAUCUUGACCCCGAUGCUGCAAACUGUAAAGACCCUCAUAAAUUUCAGGACAUGCCUGUUGAUGAGGGUCAGCAAGCAUUAACGCCAAAAUUCCGCACAUUUUCUAAAACUUGUUAGAGCUUCGGUUGUGAAUUGAAUACAAAAGAUAAUAAAAUGAUAGGUUUAAAUGUACAAAAGAAAAAACAGCACCCAGUCAAAUUGCUAUAACUUGAUUAAAAUAAUAUGAGUCGGACUGUUCUAUUCGGACAGCAAUCAAAGUUU